This 209-nucleotide ribosomal RNA is filed under the name uncultured bacterium. RNAcentral's name for it is "partial 16S ribosomal RNA". It matches the Rfam family "Bacterial small subunit ribosomal RNA", at positions 1292 to 1500 of the family's 1533-position model. The record is from RNAcentral.
UUCAGAUUGCAGGCUGCAACUCGCCUGCAUGAAGUCGGAAUUGCUAGUAAUCGCAGAUCAGCAUGCUGCGGUGAAUACGUUCCCGGGCCUUGUACACACCGCCCGUCACACCAUGGGAGUCGGUAACACCCGAAGUCGGUAGCCUAACCGUAAGGAGGGCGCCGCCGAAGGUGGGAUUGAUGACUGGGGUGAAGUCGUAACAAGGUAAC